AUACGUAGGUGACAAGCGUUAUCCGGAUUUACUGGGCGUAAAGGGCGUGUAGGCGGUCUUGCAAGUCAGAAGUGAAAUUCCUGAGCUCAACUCGGGCGCUGCUUCUGAAACUGCAGGACUUGAGUGCUGGAGGGGAUAGCGGAAUUCCUAGUGGAGCGGUAAAAUGCGCAGAUAUUAGGAAGAACACCGGUGGCGAAGGCGGCUAUCUGGACAGUAACUGACGCUGAGGCGCGAAAGCGUGGGGAGCAAACAGGAUUAGAUACCCUGGUAGUCCACACUGUAAACGAUGAAUGCUAGGUGUAGGGGGUAUCGACCCCUUCUGUGCCGCAGUCAACACAAUAAGUAUUCCGCCUGGGGAGUACGGCCGCAAGGUUGAAACUCAAAUGAAUUGACGGG
RNAcentral lists this ribosomal RNA (396 nucleotides) under uncultured bacterium. RNAcentral describes it as "partial 16S ribosomal RNA". It matches the Rfam family "Bacterial small subunit ribosomal RNA", at positions 523 to 917 of the family's 1533-position model. The record is from RNAcentral.